RNAcentral lists this ribosomal RNA (253 nucleotides) under uncultured bacterium. RNAcentral describes it as "partial 16S ribosomal RNA". It matches the Rfam family "Bacterial small subunit ribosomal RNA", at positions 524 to 776 of the family's 1533-position model. The record is from RNAcentral.
UACGUAGGUGGCAAGCGUUGUCCGGAAUUAUUGGGCGUAAAGCGCGCGCAGGCGGUCCUUUAAGUCUGAUGUGAAAGCCCACGGCUCAACCGUGGAGGGUCAUUGGAAACUGGGGGACUUGAGUGCAGAAGAGGAAAGCGGAAUUCCACGUGUAGCGGUGAAAUGCGUAGAGAUGUGGAGGAACACCAGUGGCGAAGGCGGCUUUCUGGUCUGUUCUUGACGCUGAGGCGCGAAAGCUAGGGUAGCAAACGGG